Hypomesus transpacificus is the source of this 1541-nucleotide long non-coding RNA. RefSeq lists it as uncharacterized. The transcript is spliced from 2 exons. The record is from RefSeq and is a predicted model, not a curated record. NCBI's taxonomy places the organism in Eukaryota, Metazoa, Chordata, Actinopteri, Osmeriformes, Osmeridae.
CAUUUCACCUGCCUCCAUGUGGGCGGAGCUACACAGGUGAUAAAGGCAGGUGAGGUGAGCAAAUUCAGACACAAACAUUGUAACCUCCUGUAAGUUAUGUUAACAUAAGUCUGCUGUAGGAAGAGGGAUACCAUAUCAAAUUCAUAGUGGAUUUAAUCUUUCCAAGACUACAGAAGACAGCAUCAGGCGGACUACCACAAAAUCCUCACCAUGGCAGCGAGAUACCCUUGGUGGCGGGCAUUUACCGUGAGGAAGAAGAAUAACACAAUAUCGACAGAUGAGCAAUCCGGGGGUGCCAAACCUGAUGGGGAAACUGCGUCUUCCAUCGCAUCUCCAGAUUCUGAAAAGGGGAAAUUUCACAAGGAAAUUUUUGAAGAGGCAGAGUUUGAGCCUAUGUUCAAUGAACAGACUUGCCGACGGAACCUCAACAUUUCUCGUUCGGGACGAUUUAAAGAAAAAAGAAGAGUUCGAGCGGCCAUUCCAGAUAACAGCAACUUUAACAAUGGAAAUGUCGGACUGGCUGUUGUUGCAAAAUAGAAUAUAAUGCACUAUAAUCACUGCCAAGUGACGAAGUGUACCUGUAGCUUUACAUUUACGUGUUUAAUGGACACUUUAGAGAGUACUUACUGCUAGUAAGGACAACAACUCAUUGUCAAUGAUUUAAAUAUGUAGUAUAUUCAAUAGGUGGGAUCAAAAUGAAGGAAUAGCUCAUCAUCAUCUUUUUACAUAUUCUAGUAAUUUAUUAGUAUGUGGGUUCGUCUGAAACAAUAUCACGUAUUACCUUGCUUAUACUUCUAGAAAGGGAUCGUGCAGUAUUGCAAAAGUAAAUCUACAUGUUUUUCUGAAUUUAGUUUAGUCUUUUGUUUUUACCUAAAUAACCUCUAAAUAUAUGUAAUUCUAAAUUGUAGGCCUAUGCAAAGUGAUUACAGUGUUUCUAUGCAAUGCUAUUCUAUGCUAUUCUAUUCUUUACAUGUUUGUUUUGAACAGAUGCACAUGCACAUCUCUCAAACUCUGUCUUUCACAAGCAUGUACAAAUUGCACACACGGUGACAUUAUGUUUUUGUCACACCAGACUCAGGUAUAUGAAGUAAUCAUUGUCAGUCGUUUAGUUUAAAACAUAUCUACAUAAUACUUAAUUCACAUGGAAUGUAGGCCCUAUAGCCUACAUCCUUUUUGUUUAACUUGAUAUUUAAAAUAACAGCAAAGAUUUACAGUUUCUCAUGUGUUUUAUUCCUAUUUGACAUUGCUAAACUAAAGGUUUUGAUUGUAUCAUUUGGUUCAAGGUUGAGGACUUUCGUUUUGCUCCAUGCCAAAACUCACAGAGCAAUUAAAAUGUCUUAACGGAGAUCAACUUAGGGCUGAAAUUCAUUUGGGCGUGGAUGGAAUUCGUACUCAAUGGCUCAAUGUCAGUAGAUUGAUAUGCAAAUGUGGUGAAACACAAACAAAUUGUUAAUGGGCUUGUCUACUUGGGGUGUGGUGAGGAAUGCUGCUGUCUUGCCAUACAAUAGAGUAGAUCACAAUUAAAAAGUGUAUAAACAGAA